CUGCCUCAUCUCAUAUUUGAUCAUGUAUCUUUCUUCCUAGAAUCCCCCUGCUGUGUCUUCCUGCCUCUUUUCUGGCACCGCUCUCCUGGUGUUGGCACUCGGUGAGGACAUAGUUAGAAUUGUAAACAUGGCCACAGAUUGGAUAUGGGAGUCAAAUGCGAAGAGGAGGUCAUAUUCACUCCAAGGUACUAGACCUGGAACCAAAGAAAGAAAAGGCCAAAGAAUGCUCAAAACUACCACACAAUUGCACUUAUCUCACAUACUAGUAAAGUAACGCUCAAAAUUCUCCAAGCCAGC
Molecule: long non-coding RNA, 297 nt
Filed under: Bos mutus (wild yak)
Lineage: Eukaryota; Metazoa; Chordata; Mammalia; Artiodactyla; Bovidae
Description: lncRNA (ENSBMUG00000026335.1)
Source: RNAcentral